Molecule: transfer RNA, 64 nt
Filed under: Eurylepis taeniolata (Alpine Punjab skink)
Lineage: Eukaryota; Metazoa; Chordata; Lepidosauria; Squamata; Scincidae
Description: tRNA-Ser
Source: RNAcentral
GGGUGUUUAGUACACAAAGAACUGCUAAUUCCGCGCCCUGGGGUUAAAUCCCCCAGACCCUUUA